AGCGUACACGGUGGAUGCCCUGGCAGUCAGAGGCGAUGAAGGACGUGCUAAUCUGCGAUAAGCGUCGGUAAGGUGAUAUGAACCGUUAUAACCGGCGAUUUCCGAAUGGGGAAACCCAGUGUGAUUCGUCACACUAUCAUUAACUGAAUCCAUAGGUUAAUGAGGCGAACCGGGGGAACUGAAACAUCUAAGUACCCCGAGGAAAAGAAAUCAACCGAGAUUCCCCCAGUAGCGGCGAGCGAACGGGGAGCAGCCCAGAGCCUGAAUCAGUGUGUGUGUUAGUGGAAGCGUCUGGAAAGGCGCGCGAUACAGGGUGACAGCCCCGUACACAAAAAUGCACAUACUGUGAGCUCGAUGAGUAGGGCGGGACACGUGGUAUCCUGUCUGAAUAUGGGGGGACCAUCCUCCAAGGCUAAAUACUCCUGACUGACCGAUAGUGAACCAGUACCGUGAGGGAAAGGCGAAAAGAACCCCGGCGAGGGGAGUGAAAAAGAACCUGAAACCGUGUACGUACAAGCAGUGGGAGCACAGAGCAAUCUGUGUGACUGCGUACCUUUUGUAUAAUGGGUCAGCGACUUAUAUUCUGUAGCAAGGUUAACCGAAUAGGGGAGCCGAAGGGAAACCGAGUCUUAACUGGGCGUUAAGUUGCAGGGUAUAGACCCGAAACCCGGUGAUCUAGCCAUGGGCAGGUUGAAGGUUGGGUAACACUAACUGGAGGACCGAACCGACUAAUGUUGAAAAAUUAGCGGAUGACUUGUGGCUGGGGGUGAAAGGCCAAUCAAACCGGGAGAUAGCUGGUUCUCCCCGAAAGCUAUUUAGGUAGCGCCUCGUGAAUUCAUCUCCGGGGGUAGAGCACUGUUUCGGCAAGGGGGUCAUCCCGACUUACCAACCCGAUGCAAACUGCGAAUACCGGAGAAUGUUAUCACGGGAGACACACGGCGGGUGCUAACGUCCGUCGUGAAGAGGGAAACAACCCAGACCGCCAGCUAAGGUCCCAAAGUCAUGGUUAAGUGGGAAACGAUGUGGGAAGGCCCAGACAGCCAGGAUGUUGGCUUAGAAGCAGCCAUCAUUUAAAGAAAGCGUAAUAGCUCACUGGUCGAGUCGGCCUGCGCGGAAGAUGUAACGGGGCUAAACCAUGCACCGAAGCUGCGGCAGCGACGCUUAUGCGUUGUUGGGUAGGGGAGCGUUCUGUAAGCCUGUGAAGGUGUACUGUGAGGUAUGCUGGAGGUAUCAGAAGUGCGAAUGCUGACAUAAGUAACGAUAAAGCGGGUGAAAAGCCCGCUCGCCGGAAGACCAAGGGUUCCUGUCCAACGUUAAUCGGGGCAGGGUGAGUCGACCCCUAAGGCGAGGCCGAAAGGCGUAGUCGAUGGGAAACAGGUUAAUAUUCCUGUACUUGGUGUUACUGCGAAGGGGGGACGGAGAAGGCUAUGUUGGCCGGGCGACGGUUGUCCCGGUUUAAGCGUGUAGGCUGGUUUUCCAGGCAAAUCCGGAAAAUCAAGGCUGAGGCGUGAUGACGAGGCACUACGGUGCUGAAGCAACAAAUGCCCUGCUUCCAGGAAAAGCCUCUAAGCAUCAGGUAACAUCAAAUCGUACCCCAAACCGACACAGGUGGUCAGGUAGAGAAUACCAAGGCGCUUGAGAGAACUCGGGUGAAGGAACUAGGCAAAAUGGUGCCGUAACUUCGGGAGAAGGCACGCUGAUAUGUAGGUGAAGUCCCUCGCGGAUGGAGCUGAAAUCAGUCGAAGAUACCAGCUGGCUGCAACUGUUUAUUAAAAACACAGCACUGUGCAAACACGAAAGUGGACGUAUACGGUGUGACGCCUGCCCGGUGCCGGAAGGUUAAUUGAUGGGGUCAGCGCAAGCGAAGCUCUUGAUCGAAGCCCCGGUAAACGGCGGCCGUAACUAUAACGGUCCUAAGGUAGCGAAAUUCCUUGUCGGGUAAGUUCCGACCUGCACGAAUGGCGUAAUGAUGGCCAGGCUGUCUCCACCCGAGACUCAGUGAAAUUGAACUCGCUGUGAAGAUGCAGUGUACCCGCGGCAAGACGGAAAGACCCCGUGAACCUUUACUAUAGCUUGACACUGAACAUUGAGCCUUGAUGUGUAGGAUAGGUGGGAGGCUUUGAAGUGUGGACGCCAGUCUGCAUGGAGCCGACCUUGAAAUACCACCCUUUAAUGUUUGAUGUUCUAACGUGGACCCGUGAUCCGGGUUGCGGACAGUGUCUGGUGGGUAGUUUGACUGGGGCGGUCUCCUCCUAAAGAGUAACGGAGGAGCACGAAGGUUGGCUAAUCCUGGUCGGACAUCAGGAGGUUAGUGCAAUGGCAUAAGCCAGCUUGACUGCGAGCGUGACGGCGCGAGCAGGUGCGAAAGCAGGUCAUAGUGAUCCGGUGGUUCUGAAUGGAAGGGCCAUCGCUCAACGGAUAAAAGGUACUCCGGGGAUAACAGGCUGAUACCGCCCAAGAGUUCAUAUCGACGGCGGUGUUUGGCACCUCGAUGUCGGCUCAUCACAUCCUGGGGCUGAAGUAGGUCCCAAGGGUAUGGCUGUUCGCCAUUUAAAGUGGUACGCGAGCUGGGUUUAGAACGUCGUGAGACAGUUCGGUCCCUAUCUGCCGUGGGCGCUGGAGAAUUGAGGGGGGCUGCUCCUAGUACGAGAGGACCGGAGUGGACGCAUCACUGGUGUUCGGGUUGUCAUGCCAAUGGCACUGCCCGGUAGCUAAAUGCGGAAGAGAUAAGUGCUGAAAGCAUCUAAGCACGAAACUUGCCCCGAGAUGAGUUCUCCCUGACUCCUUGA
RNAcentral lists this ribosomal RNA (2789 nucleotides) under Escherichia coli. RNAcentral describes it as "bacterial LSU rRNA". It matches the Rfam family "Bacterial large subunit ribosomal RNA". The record is from RNAcentral. Lineage: Bacteria; Pseudomonadati; Pseudomonadota; Gammaproteobacteria; Enterobacterales; Enterobacteriaceae.